GCGCUUGUGAGGUAACGGCAGCCUGCCUGUCUUCCAAUCAGGGCGUGCGGGUUCGAGUCCCGCCGGGCGCA
Molecule: transfer RNA, 71 nt
Filed under: Fimbriiglobus ruber
Lineage: Bacteria; Pseudomonadati; Planctomycetota; Planctomycetia; Gemmatales; Gemmataceae
Rfam family: tRNA
About the family: Transfer RNA (tRNA) molecules are approximately 80 nucleotides in length.
Source: Rfam by way of RNAcentral